UCAUGAGUUUGGAAACCAAAUUAAGUCCUUUCGGAGUCUUUUACUUGGAUAAAUAUGCAUUUUACUGAUCAUAUUAACUAAUGAUUUCUUAGCAUUUAUGUAAGGUCAUAGGGACAUUUACAUUUGCAAAAGUUUAAUUACAUAAACCUAAAUACUAUGAAAGACAAUAGAGCUAACUAAAGAUAUUACGAACCUUAACUUAGUCAGGUUUAAGGAUCUAAAUUGAG
Molecule: long non-coding RNA, 227 nt
Filed under: Gossypium barbadense (sea-island cotton)
Lineage: Eukaryota; Viridiplantae; Streptophyta; Magnoliopsida; Malvales; Malvaceae
Description: long non-coding RNA (GBAR_LNC014971)
Source: RNAcentral